UACGGAGGGUGCAAGCGUUAUCCGGAUUUAUUGGGUUUAAAGGGUCCGUAGGCGGACUAUUAAGUCAGUGGUGAAAGCCCUCUGCUCAACAGAGGAACUGCCAUUGAUACUGAUAGUCUUGAGUACAAGUGAGGUUGGCGGAAUGUGUGGUGUAGCGGUGAAAUGCUUAGAUAUCGUCAAGAACACCUAUAGCGAAGGCAGCUUACUAGGCUGUAACUGACGCUGAGGCACGAAAGUGUGGGGAUCAAACAGG
RNAcentral lists this ribosomal RNA (253 nucleotides) under uncultured bacterium. Its description in RNAcentral is "partial 16S ribosomal RNA". It matches the Rfam family "Bacterial small subunit ribosomal RNA", at positions 524 to 776 of the family's 1533-position model. The record is from RNAcentral.